GUCAGAUCCUGCCCUAAAUUCUGCUCGUAAAACUCUUCCUUUCUCUUACCCCACCUUUUUGCGGAUAAGGAAACCGAAGCUUAGGGUGGUUAAGUAACUUGCCUCAGGUCAUCAUGCAGUGACUUCUAUUUACAGGAUUUUUUCCACCGUACCAUCAGCUAGAAGCUAAGGAUUUUGGCGGGGGGUGAUAAAGUUGGGGGUGAGGGCUACUUUUUGUCCUUAAAUCAAUUGUGAGAGGCUGACCUCUACUGGACCAUAUAGCACUUGAACACCAAAAGGAAGAAACAGUUUUCUUGGCCUCUUGUGAUCUUUUCUUAUAUUUUGGAGAUAAAUCAACUUAAUAUACAUAUGCCAAGUGCUUAUAGCAUGUGAAAUGCUGGACUAAAUGCUGAGUGAAUUCAAGUAUAAAUGCAUUGGCCUCUGAAAGUCCCACUAGGAAUGCAUUGCAAGCAUCCUAUACCCAGCAUGGCCUCUGCUUUACCAGGGAGAUAUUUCCAAACAGCAAAAGGACAAUGUUCUCUUCUGGAGGGACUAGAAGAUGCAGGUCUAACCAAGGAGCAGCCUUUCUCUAGGAACAAUAUUCUGUGAACCAUACUUUGGGAGAACUACUCUUGAAGGAGUCCUAUAACAGCUUUUUUUGAAGCUGUUUACUUGAAGCCCGUGGGUCUCAGGAUAAGCCUGCCAGGGGCCGGAGACAAACCCGAUUGUGAUGUCUCUUCUUUACUCUAUUGGUGUGUAGGUGAGCACCAAAUAAGUUCUUGAGACCAGAAGUCGGAAUGAAUCUUACAGGGUGAAAACCAGGGUGCCAUCAAUGUUGGUUCUCUCUGGAGGCUCUAAGGGGAAAGUCUUUUUCUCCUCUUUGCAGACAUACUGAUGAGUGUAACAAUUCAUGGAGCCAUAGAUACAGCAAAAUAAGGUAAGUUACUGUCCAAUUUUCUCAUAUUCUCUGUACAAAAAUCCUCUAAAGACUUCUGGUCCAGUGGAGGUAAAAAUCAUUGCCCCUUCCUUGUUAAAUGGAGCAAAGUAAAAGGAUAAAAUCAACCUGGCUUUCCUUAGUAAGUAAAGGAUCAAGUUGGUUGUUUGUUGAAAAUACAAAUUCACUUUUUAUUGUAACUAUUUGUUUCUAGGUGAAGUCAAUUCUCUGUCCUAAAUGAAAUGGCAAAAUACUCAGAUUCAGCAGAAGAGAAGUAGCAUGAGAUAAUACAAAAAUCUGUUAAAAGCUUUAAUUUCAAGUUCUGCCUGUGG
RNAcentral lists this long non-coding RNA (1245 nucleotides) under Homo sapiens (human). RNAcentral's name for it is "HSALNT0134238". Lineage: Eukaryota; Metazoa; Chordata; Mammalia; Primates; Hominidae. The record is from RNAcentral.